GAGUGAUGGCGAGCAAGCCGGCGACGAGCAGGCCGAGGACGGCGACGCUGCAGCGCUGGUGCGGCUCGCCCGCGAACCUCCACAUGGUUGUGCGGCAGCUCAUCACUGUCAAAGAAAGUGAAAAGCUAAAAGGGACGCUGGAUGGAUGGCUUUGGAUAACCGUUGCAAGAUGGGAAAAAGUCCAACCUUUGACAAGAUUUGGAUGUGGACAAGACUGUGCUUCUGACAUUUUCGUUGCGUGCGGCGAUGGCGGGGUGGGGUGGGUGAUGUUUGUGGGGGUCUCAUAUGAGCUCCACCUGCCUGGAAGGUAAGAAAGUCUAUUCGAGGCAGAUGUUGGAAUUAUCUCAAGCUGACACGCGCCCGCGGGAACGCAGGAAAAACUGCGACGGCCUCAAUGAGGACUUAGGACAUUUUUUUUCGUACCCCCCGCCUCCAUUUUGCUCCAUAGAUUGAAGGAAAGGAAAGGACCAACAAACAUUUUUGCUUAUUUUUGGGCUCUUUGGAUGGAUUUGAACACACACAAAAUAUGUUCAUAAAAAAAGUGUAGAGCAGAAAUUUUGAUUUUAGUAAGUGGCUGCCAAAAAAAAGAACAAAGUUCAAAACAUGUAGCUAAUUGUUUUUCACGUUGGCUGACUCAAAUCAAAGAGAAGACUUCCAAAAUGGACUUGGCUUGAAAUGACAAAAUUCAAAAGCAAAAUCCGUGUCAGCUGACUCACCCUGAGCCCAUUUCAGACCUUGAGACUCCAAGUUCAAAGAUGGCGGCAAAGUGGUGCAACUCCACCACGGCUCCGGCGCCAGACUCUUAAAUUGGGAUGAUGGGAUUCUAUUGCUGAGCCCAAAAUGGAAACAUUUCAUUUAAACUCUCGUUAGAGGGAGGAUAUUAGUCAUUUGAAAGUGUCGAGCAAAGCCCGAUCCCUAUCGUCCUUCCAAUUAAUUAGCUGCCGUUAUGUCUGCUUCGGCCAAAGAAAUCAGCGCUGUGAGGCGCCUUUACUUCCAAAAAAACGACAUUUUCCAUCCGGAGCAGACCCACAAAAAAGUCGGAGGAAGCCGUGAUUGAAAAAAGACGGGGAGCCUGCAUUUUGUUUUGUAAAAGAGCCCUAAAAAGGAAAAUCGGCACCCUUCAACGAGGAGGCCCACAAAAAAGUCGGCUUC
Syngnathus acus (greater pipefish) is the source of this 1152-nucleotide long non-coding RNA. RefSeq lists it as uncharacterized. The transcript has 3 exons. Lineage: Eukaryota; Metazoa; Chordata; Actinopteri; Syngnathiformes; Syngnathidae. The record is from RefSeq and is a predicted model, not a curated record.